RNAcentral lists this ribosomal RNA (460 nucleotides) under uncultured bacterium. RNAcentral's name for it is "partial 16S ribosomal RNA". It matches the Rfam family "Bacterial small subunit ribosomal RNA", at positions 338 to 795 of the family's 1533-position model. The record is from RNAcentral.
CCUACGGGAGGCAGCAGUGAGGAAUAUUGGGCAAUGGACGAGAGUCUGAACCAGCCAAGUAGCGUGAAGGAUGACUGCCCUAUGGGUUGUAAACUUCUUUUAUAUGGGAAUAAAAUGUUCCACGUGUGGGGUUUUGUAUGUACCAUAUGAAUAAGGAUCGGCUAACUCCGUGCAAGCAGCCGCGGUAAUCCGGAGGAUCCGAGCGUUAUCCGUAUUUAUUGGGUUUAAAGGGAGCGUAGGUGGAUUGUUAAGUCAGUUGUGAAAGUUUGCGGCUCAACCUUAAAAUUGCAGUUGAAACUGGCAGUCUUGAGUACAGUAGAGGUGGGCGGAAUUCGUGGUGUAGCGGUGAAAUGCUUAGAUAUCACGAAGAACUCCGAUGGCGAAGGCAGUUCACUGGACUGCAACUGACACUGAGGCUCGAAAGUGAGGGUAUCAAACAGGAUUAGAUACCCCAGUAGUC